AGAGUAAUUGUAACACAGAAUUCAGUGAAUUGCAGUGGUUGAAUCUGAACAUAAUGAAACAUUGUAUUUUUUUGACAUAUUUUUGGAACAGCCUCCAUUUCAGUGGGAGUUGUGAGAGUGCGAGCCAGGGAGCAGCUGAGAACAUAAGUUUGAAUGUGAAAUACUUACCUCGUGAAUCUGUGGACCGAAGGCUGAACAGGAGUGGAAGCAGACAGGGACUGCUGGAUACUGAUUAUAUUGGCAAUAACUUCAUCCUUUUAUAAAGUUGGACUUCUGCCCGCUGACAGGGUCAACAUCGUAGGUAAAAACAAUGACUGCAGAUGCUGGAAA
Chiloscyllium plagiosum (whitespotted bambooshark) is the source of this 330-nucleotide long non-coding RNA. RefSeq lists it as uncharacterized. The record is from RefSeq and is a predicted model, not a curated record. NCBI's taxonomy places the organism in Eukaryota, Metazoa, Chordata, Chondrichthyes, Orectolobiformes, Hemiscylliidae.